UCUGCCCAGAACCAUCCGGCGGUCCCCAGCCCCCAAGCUCUGGGACGGCUUCGGGGCUGCGCUAGCCAUUAAUGGACAUCAUCCAUUUUUAAUCAGAAAGAUCAGAAGAAAGAUGGUAAGCGAAUCCCAGUCGCAAGUCAAUUUAAAUAACAUUCCUGGGGAAAUCCAAUCACUUAAAACUGAGACACCUACGCGAGCAAGAGCCCCCGCCCGACUAGCAAGGAAGAGCGCGACGGCUGAAUUAAUCAAGAUCAGGGGGCUCCAGAGCUGAGCGCGGAGCGUUAACCCUUCCAGCUCCGGAGAGUGACAAGGGGGCUUGCAAAAGCGCGGACGGCCAGGGCGAAGAUGCCCACGGCAGCCACGCACAGGCUGCCUCUGCCAUCUUGGGCGGCUCCGAACGCCCAGAGCUCUACCCGGGAGGCUGGGCGCUCGCGGUUAAGGUCAGCAGCUCAGGAAGCCGCUCCGGCUGCGAGGAGAGGCCGCCUCCCGCAGCCUCUGCGCGCCUUGGGCUCCUCCUUCCGCCCAAGCGUGGCCAAGUGAGGACUGCUCCGGCCGCAGGUAGCCGAGGCGCGGAAGGCGGCGCGCUGGACCCAGAGGAGCGCCCGGGGAGGGGCCGACGGACACGCGGACAGACGGAUUCCCCCAACCCCCGCCCGGGACAUUAGCAACGGUCUGCGCGGGCCAUGUGGGGGCCCGGGGUCACAGCCGAGGGCCUGUCGGUGGCGCCCGCACCGCCGCCGCUGCUGCCGCUGCUGCUACUGCUGACGCUGGCGCUCGUGGCGCCCUCGCGGGGCGGCGGGGGCUGCGCGGACCUGGCGUGUGGCGAGCGGGAGCGCUGCUGCGACGCGGCCAACGCCACAGCGGUGCGCUGCUGCAAGCUGCCGCUGCACGCCUUCCUCGACAACGUGGGCUGGUUCGUCCGCAAGCUCUCGGGGCUGCUUAUCCUGCUAGUGCUCUUCGCCAUAGGCUACUUCCUGCAGCGCAUCAUCUGCCCCAGCCCACGCAGGUACCCGCGCGGUCAGGCGCGGCCCGGGCAAGCACGGCCCGGGCCGCCGGGGGGCGCGGGGCCGCCGGGGGCCGCGGGGCCGCCCGACGACGACGACGAUUCGCCCGCGCUAAUGCGCGACGAGGCGGCCACCGGCUCCCAGGACUCACUGCUGGACAGUGGAGGCGGGGGCCGGGGAGGCGGAGGGCGCUCGGUCCCCUCCUGCGCCUCCGAGCACGAGCUUCGCGUAGUCUCGCCGGUCUUCCUGCAGCUGCCCAGCUACGAGGAGGUCAAGUACCUGCCCACCUACGAGGAGUCCAUGCGGCUGCAGCAGCUCAGCCCCGGGGAGGUCGUACUGCCCGUGUCGGUGCUUGGCCGCCCACGAGGCGGCGGCGCCGGGGAGUCAGACGGCGGGGAGGGCCGCUUCCCGCUCAUCUGAGCGUCUACGGCCGCUGGAGGACCGCGCGGACAGAACGGGGCUAGGUGGGCUGCGGGUGGGACGCAACGGCCGAGGUGGUACCUGCCACCGCCAACUGCCUCAGACCCCGCCUGGUACCCGGGCCGAAUCGCCCGUCGCUCGGCGACUGGGCAGGAGUCACUCCCGUUUCCCCCCCCCCGCCCCGUUCCUCCCCCCCCCCCCCCCCCCGAGAUCUUAAGUUUCCCUACGUUUCAUUCGGUUCAAGGAAACGUUAGGCGCGCGCGGCGGGGGCCACAGCAGCGGACAACCCAGGAGCGCAACUUCGAAGACCGUCCCUACCCUCAGCCUCUGCUCAGACUGUGUUCACUCGAAUGACUCUGGAACCAUGUGAAGAGCUGCAGGAUUCGAUCAUCACUUGAACGGUGCCCUGUGAACAGCUCUCAACUGACUAACAAAUAGCUGCUCGGCUGAUAGACGGCAGUUUCAUCAUGAACACACAACAUGCUGUUUGGAAGGCCACCACUCUGACUAAAAAAGGACAGGUCAGAACAUUCCAUUUUAUUCCAUCUCCAAGGAGCAGCACUCCCACAUAGUCUACAAGCUCCACAAAAACAGAAGCCAUAUCUGACUCAGCAUCCAGUAUAAUACCUGGCCCAGAGAAUGACUCUGGAACCAUGUGAAGAGCUGCAGGAUUCGAUCAUCACUUGAACGGUGCCCUGUGAACAGCUCUCAACUGACUAACAAAUAGCUGCUCGGCUGAUAGACGGCAGUUUCAUCAUGAACACACAACAUGCUGUUUGGAAGGCCACCACUCUGACUAAAAAAGAUGCAAAUGCUCAGAGUACUAUAAAAGAAGUGGAGAAGAUAUUACACAGAUAUGGACCAUUGAGUGUAAUUCCUUCCGACCAAGGAAGGAACACACUUUACAGCUCAUCAUGUCCAACAAUGGGCAGAGAUAUAGUUUCUGAGAGUAGUGGUUUGGUAAUUAGAAUUAGAAUGGGCAAAAAAACAAUGACUGUCUAAAAUGAGAAGAGAGGGAAUAUAGGCAUGAAGAACUAGCUUACACGUCUUCAUGAGUGUGUACUCACAUUCAACAUGAAGUGAACAAAGAGUGUGUCCAUACUAGAUAAAUUCCUCUACAAUUUCAGUGGAAAUAGGGAACAGGUGGUGAAGAGGAUGCUAGUAUGACUAUGCAAUUUUUCCCACAGUGGGAGAAUAUUGGUAUGAUACCUAUGCUUUUUUCUUUCUUCCCCACAUCACCUCAAUGUUCUUCUUAACUUGAUACAGUGGUCACAGGACAAAGGAUACAAUUACAAUUAUCAAAAGCAGAGAUGAUUCCUAGGCUGUUUUAACCUUCAUGUCUAUAUUUCUAAGGACCUGAUGGAGUAGGUUGUGCUUUCACUCCAUCUGGCAAAUUUGGGGUUAAAUGUGAGUGCAGCUAUACUGCCUAGUGGUAGAGAUAGCCCACUAGCUCUAUACAAAUGGAGAGAAAGAGAAAUAAUGGCUGAAAAUCAAAGAAUAACUAAAUGGGCAUGCAAUGGGGGAAUCCAAUUUUAUAUUAAUUCUUCAAAAGAGUCUCAGCGCAAAAGCUAGUAUUAUUUG
Molecule: RNA transcript, 3005 nt
Organism: Acinonyx jubatus (cheetah)
Lineage: Eukaryota; Metazoa; Chordata; Mammalia; Carnivora; Felidae
Gene: CC2H3orf80
Gene name: chromosome C2 C3orf80 homolog
Exons: 5
Source: RefSeq, a predicted model, not a curated record